This 429-nucleotide ribosomal RNA is filed under the name Fusobacteriota bacterium. RNAcentral describes it as "Fusobacteria bacterium partial 16S ribosomal RNA". It matches the Rfam family "Bacterial small subunit ribosomal RNA", at positions 355 to 776 of the family's 1533-position model. The record is from RNAcentral. Lineage: Bacteria; Fusobacteriati; Fusobacteriota.
UGGGGAAUCUUCCGCAAUGGACGAAAGUCUGACGGAGCAACGCCGCGUGAGUGAAGACGGCCUUCGGGUUGUAAAGCUCUGUGAUCCGGGACGAAAGAGCCUGAGGUGAAUAGCCUAAGGAAGUGACGGUACCGGAAAAGCAAGCCACGGCUAACUACGUGCCAGCAGCCGCGGUAAUACGUAGGUGGCAAGCGUUGUCCGGAAUUAUUGGGCGUAAAGUGCGCGCAGGCGGCUUCCUAAGUCCAUCUUAAAAGUGCGGGGCUUAACCCCGUGAUGGGGAGGAAACUGGGAAGCUGGAGUAUAGGAGAGGAAAGUGGAAUUCCUAGUGUAGAGGUGAAAUGCGUAGAGAUUAGGAAGAACACCGGUGGCGAAGGCGGCUUUCUGGACGAAAACUGACGCUGAGGCGCGAAAGCGUGGGGAGCAAACAGG